UGGAGCGUGUAGUCUGUGCCGGGAACGCCGCCUCAAGGUGAAGGUGACUGGAACCGGCCUGACUCGUGGCUGUCUGCGUCCGUUUCUUCUCAAUAAAGUUUUCCUUCAUAAGGAAACGGGUAGGCGGGGGGCCUCGGCAAGAUGGCGGCGCCCGUGUCGCCCUUGGUUACUGGGCGCUGCUUUCUAAGGGCUGCCGCUCGACACGCUGCUCUCCUGCUAACCGGGUGGGCUGAAGCCGGCACCCCGCGGAAAGCUUACACAGUUCAGGCAGCUGAGAAAGCUGCCAGUGGCACUCGAGCAGAUGCUAAUUCCAAAGCCUUGUUAAUUUGCAAUGGACCUUUAGAACAUUAUGAGUUUCUGAUUAAAGCCGAGGAGCUGAGGAACGAUGAGCAACAACGAAAAGUUGUACAAUGCCUGCAGAAGCUACAUGAAAGCCUUAAAGGCUAUAGUAUCAGUCCAAAGCACAUCUUAUCAAAGUUGUUUACAAGACAUAAACCCCCAAAAGGCCUUUAUGUCUAUGGAGAUGUUGGCACAGGAAAGACAAUGGUGAUGGACAUAUUUUAUUCUCAUAUAGAAGUAGAAAGAAAAAAGAGAGUCCAUUUUCAUGGCUUCAUGUUAGAUGUGCACAAAAGAAUACAUCGCCUUAAACAGACCCUGCCAAAACGGAAACCUGGAUUAAUGGCUAAAUCAUAUGACCCAAUAGCCCCAGUAGCUGCUGAAAUAAGUGAGGAGGCUUGUCUCUUGUGCUUUGAUGAAUUUCAGGUCACAGACAUUGCUGACGCCAUGAUUCUCAAGCAGCUCUUUGAAAACCUGUUUCAAAAUGGUGUUGUUGUUGUAGCAACAUCCAACAGGCCACCAGAAGAUCUCUAUAAAAAUGGGCUCCAAAGAGUGAACUUCGUGCCAUUCAUUGCUGUUCUUAAGAAAUACUGCAGCACUAUCCAGCUGGAUUCCGGAAUAGACUAUAGGAAACAAGCGCUACCAGCAGCAGGAAAGCUAUAUUACCUCACAAGUGAAGCUGAUGUGGAGGCUGUCAUGGAUAAGUUGUUUGAUGAGCUGGCUCAAAAACAAAAUGAUUUAACUAGACCAAGGAUUUUAAAAGUACAAGGCAGAGAGCUGAGAGUGAAUAAAGCGUGUGGAACCAUUGCAGACUUCACAUUUGAAGAGCUGUGUGACAGACCGCUUGGAGCCAGUGAUUACUUGGAAGUAGCUAUGCAUUUUGACCUAGUCUUUGUUCGUCACAUACCUGAGUUUACAAUGGCAAAAAGGACCCAAGCUCGCCGCUUCAUUACUCUUGUUGAUACUUUUUAUGACAAGAAGGUGCGUAUUGUAUGCUCUGCAUCAGCGCCACUCCAAAACAUAUUUAUUCAAGAAUCCCAUGAUGGUGGAUUGGACGAAAGUAGGGUAAUGAUGGACGAUUUGGGGUUGAGCCAGGAUUCAGCUCAAGGACUUUCAAUGUUCACGGGAGAGGAGGAGAUUUUUGCCCUUCAGCGUACCAUCUCACGACUGACUGAAAUGCAGACUGAGCAGUACUGGAAGGAGGGGGACAGGAGCAACCAACCACAGCUGCGAAAAGACUAGCAAAACACAAAUAGUACUUGUAAAGAAGAAGAGUUCUAACUCAAUGCUAAAUUAUUUUUAACAGGCACACUGCCCAAUUUUGCACCUUACUUCCUAGACAUUUGCCUUUUUAUUUGUUAACAAGGGGCAGGUUACAUGCUGGAAUGCUGGUGGGAACAGUUUUAUGCCUGUGUGUGGAAGUCCAGCCUAACAUGAAGUCUUUCCUGACCAAGAAUCCAAAUCCAGUUUUAAUCUACAAAUUAUGUGGAUAGGAGUGGCACAUACAGUUUAUGGUCUGCAUUUGUAUAUCAUACUUCAAAAACUACAGCUUGAACAAAUGGCAGACCAGAUAGGACAAUCUUACAAGAUUUGAGGUGAACUUUGUACUGGUAGUGAAAAUGGACUUUAUAUUGGAAUUUAUAUUGGAAUGGACUUUAUAUUGGAAUUUGACUAAGUUGUCCUCCUUCCCGCCUGAUGCUGAGGAUCUUUUCAAGCAGCUAUGCACAAGACAGUAAGUGCAAAUCUACACACACUCACAUACACCACAAUGCAGUGAUCCUUCUACACCAUUGCCACAUGUAACAUUGGUGGAUCAUGCUCUUUCACUGAACAACACAGGAGAAAGCAAUGCAAACACAGAAACAUCUCUUAGCAGUUCAACCACCCAUCAGUCAUGAUAUUGCUUUACUAAUAAGACCACCCACAUUGUUCAUUUAGGAAAGGUACCAGUCAAUGAAUGGUGUUGUUAGCAUAACUCUUGGAUACCCAAUGUACACCACAAACAAUGCACAGUCUGGCAUCCUCAAAGGCACACAUCCCAGUGCAGACCACCAUGGUACAGUAAGCAGGAGCACCAAAACUGGCUUACGAAUAUAAAGGACAAUUUUACUAGAAU
This is an RNA transcript of Podarcis raffonei (Aeolian wall lizard), 2452 nucleotides long. It is a transcript of the gene named AFG1 like ATPase, with no coding region annotated. The transcript is spliced from 14 exons. NCBI's taxonomy places the organism in Eukaryota, Metazoa, Chordata, Lepidosauria, Squamata, Lacertidae. The record is from RefSeq and is a predicted model, not a curated record.